UACAGAGGGGGCAAGCGUUAUUCGGAAUUAUUGGGCGUAAAGGGCGCGUAGGCGGCCUUUCAAGUGACGGGUGAAAUCCCUCGGCUUAACCGAGGAACUGCCUGUCAGACUGGGAGGCUUGAGACCGGGAGAGGUGAGUGGAAUUCCCAGUGUAGCGGUGAAAUGCGUAGAUAUUGGGAGGAACACCAGUGGCGAAGGCGGCUCACUGGACCGGAACUGACGCUGAUGCGCGAAAGCGUGGGGAGCAAACAGG
Molecule: ribosomal RNA, 253 nt
Filed under: uncultured bacterium
Lineage: Bacteria
Description: partial 16S ribosomal RNA
Rfam family: Bacterial small subunit ribosomal RNA
Source: RNAcentral